Acanthosepion pharaonis is the source of this 113-nucleotide non-coding RNA. The record is from the annotation of a GenBank genome assembly. NCBI's taxonomy places the organism in Eukaryota, Metazoa, Mollusca, Cephalopoda, Sepiida, Sepiidae.
UUAUGGCCAUAUCACUUUUAAAACACUGGUUUUCAUCCAAUCACUGGUUAAACAAUGUUGAACCUGGUCAGUACUUAGAUGGGUGACCACUAGGGAAUACCAGGUGCUGUAAG